Molecule: ribosomal RNA, 431 nt
Filed under: Gammarus desperatus (Bitter Lakes amphipod)
Lineage: Eukaryota; Metazoa; Arthropoda; Malacostraca; Amphipoda; Gammaridae
Description: partial 16S ribosomal RNA
Rfam family: Bacterial large subunit ribosomal RNA
Source: RNAcentral
GGUAUUUUGACCGUGCUAAGGUAGCANAAUCACUUGUUUUUNAAUUGAUAACUGGAAUGAAAGGUUGCUCUUAUUUUAAUUUUUGUAAAACUNAAAUAAUAAAUNAAAGUNAGGGUAAGAAUUCUUUAAUUUUCNAGGGGACGAUAAGACCCNAGAAGCUUAAUAUAGAGUUGUACUUANAGAAAAAGUUGAUUAUUUAUUUUACUGGGGCGGUAGGAGUAAACUUACUAUUUGCUNAAAAAAGAUCUUUAAAAUUAAGANAAUUGGGAUUAGUUACUCUAGGGAUAACAGUGCAAUUUUUUNAGAAAGACCUUAUUGAUGAANAAGUUUGCAACCUCGAUGUUGAAUUAAGAUGUCUAAGUGAGGUAAAAGGUACUAAAGAAAGGUUUGUUCAACCUUUAAAGUCUUACAUGAUCNGAGUUCAAACCGGA